AUGCAGUCGAGCGGACAGAUGGGAGCUUGCUCCCUGAUGUUAGCGGCGGACGGGUGAGUAACACGUGGGUAACCUGCCUGUAAGACUGGGAUAACUCCGGGAAACCGGGGCUAAUACCGGAUGCUUGUUUGAACCGCAUGGUUCAAACAUAAAAGGUGGCUUCGGCUACCACUUACAGAUGGACCCGCGGCGCAUUAGCUAGUUGGUGAGGUAACGGCUCACCAAGGCAACGAUGCGUAGCCGACCUGAGAGGGUGAUCGGCCACACUGGGACUGAGACACGGCCCAGACUCCUACGGGAGGCAGCAGUAGGGAAUCUUCCGCAAUGGACGAAAGUCUGACGGAGCAACGCCGCGUGAGUGAUGAAGGUUUUCGGAUCGUAAAGCUCUGUUGUUAGGGAAGAACAAGUACCGUUCGAAUAGGGCGGUACCUUGACGGUACCUAACCAGAAAGCCACGGCUAACUACGUGCCAGCAGCCGCGGUAAUACGUAGGUGGCAAGCGUUGUCCGGAAUUAUUGGGCGUAAAGGGCUCGCAGGCGGUUUCUUAAGUCUGAUGUGAAAGCCCCCGGCUCAACCGGGGAGGGUCAUUGGAAACUGGGGAACUUGAGUGCAGAAGAGGAGAGUGGAAUUCCACGUGUAGCGGU
This 644-nucleotide ribosomal RNA is filed under the name Bacillus inaquosorum. Its description in RNAcentral is "bacterial SSU rRNA". It matches the Rfam family "Bacterial small subunit ribosomal RNA", at positions 55 to 682 of the family's 1533-position model. The record is from RNAcentral. Lineage: Bacteria; Bacillati; Bacillota; Bacilli; Caryophanales; Bacillaceae.